Molecule: ribosomal RNA, 253 nt
Filed under: uncultured bacterium
Lineage: Bacteria
Description: partial 16S ribosomal RNA
Rfam family: Bacterial small subunit ribosomal RNA
Source: RNAcentral
UACAGAGGUCUCAAGCGUUGUUCGGAUUCAUUGGGCGUAAAGGGUGCGUAGGUGGCGCGGUAAGUCGGGUGUGAAAUUUCGGAGCUUAACUCCGAAACUGCAUUCGAUACUGCCGUGCUUGAGGACUGGAGAGGAGACUGGAAUUCCCGGUGUAGCGGUGAAAUGCGCAGAUAUCGGGAAGAACACCCGUGGCGAAGGCGGUUCUCUGGGACGGUACUGACGCUGAGACGCGAAAGCGUGGGGAGCGAACAGG